RNAcentral lists this ribosomal RNA (229 nucleotides) under uncultured bacterium. RNAcentral describes it as "partial 16S ribosomal RNA". It matches the Rfam family "Bacterial small subunit ribosomal RNA", at positions 568 to 796 of the family's 1533-position model. The record is from RNAcentral.
UGCGUAGGCGGAAUAAUAAGUCAGUGGUGAAAUCCUGUGGCUCAACCACAGAACUGCCAUUGAUACUGUUAUUCUUGAAUAUAGUUGAGGUAGGCGGAAUGUGUAAUGUAGCGGUGAAAUGCUUAGAUAUUACACAGAACACCGAUUGCGAAGGCAGCUUGCUAAACUAUUAUUGACGCUGAGGCACGAACGCGUGGGGAGCGAACAGGAUUAGAUACCCUGGUAGUCC